GUCGCGGAAAAGCCUAAUGCAUAUAUGAAAUGAUCAACCGAAGGGCAAUUUAUCAGCAUCCCAGAAGUGUACUCAAAAAAGUGUAACACCAAAAAAAGAGAUACAGGAUAGAAGCCGAAACAAAAGGAAAAACGCCAACAACUAACAACCCGACAACAGCAAUAACAAUUUGUCAAGAACGCACACACAUAUGCAGAUACACCACACACACACAAACACACACACACACACACACGAACACGUACACAAACACAUAUUAAAAG
Molecule: long non-coding RNA, 263 nt
Filed under: Drosophila guanche
Lineage: Eukaryota; Metazoa; Arthropoda; Insecta; Diptera; Drosophilidae
Source: RNAcentral